GAUGAACGCUGGCGGCGUGCCUAAUACAUGCAAGUCGAACGCACAGCGAAAGGUGCUUGCACCUUUUAAGUGAGUGACGAACGGGUGAGUAACACGUGGACAACCUGCCUCAAGGCUGGGGAUAACAUUUGGAAACAGAUGCUAAUACCGAAUAAAACUCAGUGUCGCAUGACACAAAGUUAAAAGGCGCUUUGGCGUCACCUAGAGAUGGAUCCGCGGUG
Molecule: ribosomal RNA, 221 nt
Filed under: uncultured bacterium
Lineage: Bacteria
Description: partial 16S ribosomal RNA
Rfam family: Bacterial small subunit ribosomal RNA
Source: RNAcentral